Molecule: unclassified non-coding RNA, 278 nt
Filed under: soil metagenome
Description: partial contains small subunit ribosomal RNA, internal transcribed spacer 1, and 5.8S ribosomal RNA
Source: RNAcentral
UUUCCGUAGGUGAACCUGCGGAAGGAUCAUUAAAAAAAAGGAUGCGCUCCGACGCAUAGCUCCUCUCAGCCCCCUUGCCAUGAGGCGGGGGCUUGAUUGAGUCCCUUAACCCUUUGUGAACUUUAUACCUUUUGCUUCGGCAGCACGCCCUCCCUUGGGAAGGUUGGUAAGGCUGCCGCCGAUAGCCCAUUUUAAACCAUUUUAUUUUAAAUCAUGAAGUCUGAUUACUGUUAAAUUUAAACAAGUUAAAACUUUCAGCAACGGAUCUCUUGGUUCUC